This is a long non-coding RNA of Mustela erminea (ermine), 420 nucleotides long. RefSeq lists it as uncharacterized. The record is from RefSeq and is a predicted model, not a curated record. The transcript has 3 exons. Lineage: Eukaryota; Metazoa; Chordata; Mammalia; Carnivora; Mustelidae.
GGAAGGAGGAAACCUUCCUGGUCCAAGUGUCCGAAUUUCUGUUCAGAGGCCACCAUUCCUCCCCAACGCAGCCCACAGACUUCCCAGCAGCUGGCCCUUGCUCAGAAGGUUCUGAAGGGUCUAAGAUUGACAAAGUUCAGAUACAGAUACACCAAUCAGCACCGAGGACUCCCUGGACACUGGACUUUUUCUAGGAAUGGCACACAACACAGCUCAGACCACUGGCAGGAAUUUAGCCAGAUGCAGCUGUGGAGAAGUGGGGCCAGAGUUCCCGGAUCAAGCCAAUCCUGAGGCCCACGUACUUCUGGAUGUCCAGGUCCAAGAACCAAGGAAAACCUUUCGUUUGAGCCACUUGGAUUUGAGUUUGUUGUUGUUUAUAAUACCUUCAAGCCCCUGAGUCAUCAGUGUUUGUGACGUCAC